GGAGGAAAGAAACCAACAGGGAUUGCCCUAGUAACGGCGAGUGAAGCGGCAACAGCUCAAAUUUGAAAUCUGGCUUCGGCCCGAGUUGUAAUUUGCAGAGGAUGCUUCUGGCGCGGUGCCUUCCGAGUUCCCUGGAACGGGACGCCAUAGAGGGUGAGAGCCCCGUAUGGAUGGACACCAAGCCUGUGUGAAGCUCCUUCGACGAGUCGAGUAGUUUGGGAAUGCUGCUCUAAAUGGGAGGUACAUCUCUUCUAAAGCUAAAUACCGGCCAGAGACCGAUAGCGCACAAGUAGAGUGAUCGAAAGAUGAAAAGCACCUUGAAAAGGGGGUUAAAUAGUACGUGAAAUUGUUGAAAGGGAAGCGCUUGUGACCAGACUUGUGCUAGGCGGCUCAUCCGGUGUUCUCACCGGUGCACUCCGCCUAGCUCAGGCCAGCAUCGGUUCUCGCGGGGGGAUAAGAACGGUGGGAACGUAGCUCCUCACGGGGAGUGUUAUAGCCCAUCGUACGAUACCUUCGCGGGGACCGAGGUUCGCGCAUCUGCAAGGAUGCUGGCGUAAUGGUCACCAGCGACCCGUC
This 576-nucleotide ribosomal RNA is filed under the name Valsaceae sp. GS52. RNAcentral's name for it is "eukaryotic LSU rRNA". It matches the Rfam family "Eukaryotic large subunit ribosomal RNA", at positions 52 to 653 of the family's 3401-position model. The record is from RNAcentral. Lineage: Eukaryota; Fungi; Ascomycota; Sordariomycetes; Diaporthales; Cytosporaceae.